RNAcentral lists this long non-coding RNA (472 nucleotides) under Mus spicilegus (steppe mouse). RNAcentral's name for it is "lncRNA (ENSMSIG00000004422.1)". The record is from RNAcentral. Lineage: Eukaryota; Metazoa; Chordata; Mammalia; Rodentia; Muridae.
GUGGAUGACACAGAGAUGAAUAAAACACUAUUUUUGCUCUAUAUGCUAGAAGUCUGAAAGAAGGAAGAUGGACAAUUACAAUAGAAGGAAGAUUUAAUCACAUAAAGGAUGAAUAAGAUUGAAUUGCGACCAUAAAAAAAAAACCUGACAACAUACAUUGAGAAUGAAUGGAGAUAAAAUGAUGAUUUUGCCUGGCAAUUCUACCGAUGUUUGAAGAUGCUAUGCUGGUUACCAUGGAGACCAAAAGGCCAAUGCAAAUUUUUCUUGGGUAUUCAGAUCAAGGUUUUCUUGAAAUAUUGAAGUGGAAAUGAAGGCCAGCUGAAGAGCUUGCGUAUUCAAAGCUGAGUUCUAAUGGGGUGAUGUUCAGUUAGCAAGGACAAAGAACAUUUGCAAAACUAGCUCUGGUGAGUUUUAGGAAGUAUUUUUAAAAUAUGAAGUAGGAUAAGCAACAGAGCUUUACAGAGCAACUGGA